AAAGUUGAAUAUAGUUUUUGAGAGAAUUAAUCAAGAAGUCUCAAACUAACCCAAACAGGCUUUAAAAAAAAAUCAACAAAUACUUGCUGGUUAAGAUAGUUAUAUGAUAAUUCUUUGAAGUUUCUCUAUUGAUAAUCCUACUAUCAGGGUAUAGGAUACUGAUAGUAUAAGUUUUAUUUGCAAAUAGUUGCAAAAGACUUCAUGAUAGGUGUUGGGUAUAAAAUACCCACAGUCGAAACCCUCGGC
RNAcentral lists this long non-coding RNA (246 nucleotides) under Elaeis guineensis (African oil palm). RNAcentral's name for it is "long non-coding RNA (EGUI_LNC069275)". Lineage: Eukaryota; Viridiplantae; Streptophyta; Magnoliopsida; Arecales; Arecaceae. The record is from RNAcentral.